UACGAAGGGGGCUAGCGUUGCUCGGAAUCACUGGGCGUAAAGCGCACGUAGGCGGAUUGUUAAGUCAGGGGUGAAAUCCCGGAGCUCAACUCCGGAACUGCCUUUGAUACUGGCGAUCUUGAGUCCGGGAGAGGUGAGUGGAACUGCGAGUGUAGAGGUGAAAUUCGUAGAUAUUCGCAAGAACACCAGUGGCGAAGGCGGCUCACUGGCCCGGUACUGACGCUGAGGUGCGAAAGCGUGGGGAGCAAACAGGG
This 254-nucleotide ribosomal RNA is filed under the name uncultured bacterium. RNAcentral describes it as "partial 16S ribosomal RNA". It matches the Rfam family "Bacterial small subunit ribosomal RNA", at positions 524 to 777 of the family's 1533-position model. The record is from RNAcentral.